GACGAACGCUGGCGGCGUGCCUAAUACAUGCAAGUAGAGCGCAGUUGCGAACGGGUGCGUAACGCGUAGGUAACCUGCCUCAUUGCGGGGGAUAACUAUUGGAAACGAUAGCUAAUACCGCAUACUGUGAGAUGGACCUGCGUGGUAUUAGCUAGUUGGUGAGGUAAAGGCUCACCACGGCGACGAUACAUAGCUGACCUGAGAGGAUUAUCGUCCACACUGGGACUGAGACACGGCCCAGACUCCUACGGGAGGCAGCUGUAGGGAAUCUUGGACAAUGGACGCAAGGCUGAUCGAGCAACGCCGCGUGAGUGAAGAAGGUCUGCGGAUCGGAAAGCGCUGUUGUGAGAGAGGCGGUAUCUAGCCAGAAAGCAGCGGCUAACUACGUGCCAGCAGCCGCGGUAAUAC
RNAcentral lists this ribosomal RNA (408 nucleotides) under uncultured bacterium. RNAcentral describes it as "partial 16S ribosomal RNA". It matches the Rfam family "Bacterial small subunit ribosomal RNA", at positions 28 to 526 of the family's 1533-position model. The record is from RNAcentral.